UCCAAACGCUGGAACAUCGACAUUUACACACCCAGUACUCAGCAGUGACAACCUCCAGACAGUUUUAAAGCGUUCACCUCAACACUUUCUCCUCGGCCGAUAAGCCUGCGGCACAUCUUCAGGAAAAACCGGUACAGGUGGUCACAUGAGGGUGUGUCGAGUUCGUGCUUAUUAGACUCAAACAGGUUGGAUAUGCGUGUAAAAACUUAUUCCGACGGAAGGAAACUCGAGUAGCUACUGAAACUCGAAUCUUCAAAGACUAUCGAACUCAAGUCCUACUUAACGUUAGCUUCACCCAAAAAUUGAUAUACAUUUCCCCCGCGAAACUUUGUGUUUGCUUGCAAAACGUUUCGUAUUCUUCCACAAAGUUUCUUUGGGGAACGGAACAAUUUUUCAUUUAUUUUUCUUCCCACUUUUUCCCCAUCACCAUGUGCUCCAAACCCCUCACUUUAUGAAUGUUUUGGGUGAUUAGACUUUCAGUGGAAGGUCGGAAAUCUCUCAGAUUUCAUUAAAAAUAUCUUCAUUUGUUUCUGAAGAUGAAAGAAAGUCCUUCACAUGAGGAUGAGGCCUACUUUAUGACAGAAUUUUCAUUAUCCAGAAAAGUGUCAAAUAUGUGGCGCGUUAGAGUCGACAAGUAGGCCUAGCCUAUGUGAUGAAGUGCAAGUAUACUGAGAAGUUGAACGGCUCCCUUUAAAAAUAAAAGCCCUCAAAUAUGCUCCACAUUGAAAAGUGUUGAGUGUAUGAUAUAAAAAGAGAGAAAGCCACAGACAUUCCCAUAGUACUGUGUCGUUGGGCCUCAGGCUGUCUUUCCUGGAAUGACAUCUGACAGGUUUGAGAGCGGCAGUCCUAGGGCGCACACUGGGAGUUUUGACAUUUAUGUACCUAUAACCGAUGUUUGGGCAUAUAGCCGGUUACAUGAAUAUCUUAAGUAACUUUCAAAAAUAAGUCACUAAGGAACAGUAUUAUGAUAAAUGCUUGAUAGUUUGGUCUAAUCUAAUGAUCUGAUGUACAAUCUAGAUUAUUUUAGAAAAAAAAAAUAACUUGAAUGCUAACUUGUCCAUUGUCCACAGACUUGUGGAGAUGUGUGCUAUUACUGUUUAACUGAAUGAAA
Pimephales promelas (fathead minnow) is the source of this 1111-nucleotide long non-coding RNA. RefSeq lists it as uncharacterized. The record is from RefSeq and is a predicted model, not a curated record. NCBI's taxonomy places the organism in Eukaryota, Metazoa, Chordata, Actinopteri, Cypriniformes, Leuciscidae.